This 203-nucleotide ribosomal RNA is filed under the name Sympetrum danae (black darter). Its description in RNAcentral is "5.8S ribosomal RNA". The stretch from base 1 to 146 matches the Rfam family "5.8S ribosomal RNA". Rfam says of the family: 5.8S ribosomal RNA (5.8S rRNA) is a component of the large subunit of the eukaryotic ribosome. It is transcribed by RNA polymerase I as part of the 45S precursor that also contains 18S and 28S rRNA. The record is from RNAcentral. Lineage: Eukaryota; Metazoa; Arthropoda; Insecta; Odonata; Libellulidae.
CGGUGGAUCACUCGGCUCGUGGAUCGAUGAAGAACGCAGCAAACUGCGCGUCAAAGUGUGAACUGCAGGACACAUGAACAUCGACGUUUCUAACGCACAUUGCGGCCCAAGGAUCCCAUUCCCGGGCCACGCCUGGCUGAGGGCAGGCUAACAGAUCCGCGAACCUCGGGUCUUGGGAGUCCCGGCGGUCCCCCUUCGGGGCC